GAUGAACGCUGGCGGCGUGCCUAAUACAUGCCAGUCGAGCGAACAGACGAGGAGCUUGCUCCUCUGACGUUAGCGGCGGACGGGUGAGUAACACGUGGAUAACCUACCUAUAAGACUUGGAUAACUUCGGGAAACCGGAGCUAAUACCGGAUAAUAUAUUGAACCGCAUGGUUCAAUAGUGAAAGACGGUUUUGCUGUCACUUAUAGAUGGAUCCGCGCCGCAUUAGCUAGUUGGUAAGGUAACGGCUUACCAAGGCAACGAUGCGUAGCCGACCUGAGAGGGUGAUAGGCCACACUGGAACUGAGACACGGUCCAGACUCCUACGGGAGGCAGCAGUAGGGAAUCUUCCGCAAUGGGCGAAAGCUUGACGGAGCAACGCCGCGUGAGUGAUGAAGGUCUUCGGAUCGUAAAACUCUGUUAUUAGGGAAGAACAAAUGUGUAAGUAACUAUGCACGUCUUGACGGUACCUAAUCAGAAAGCCACGGCUAACUACGUG
RNAcentral lists this ribosomal RNA (497 nucleotides) under uncultured bacterium. RNAcentral's name for it is "partial 16S ribosomal RNA". It matches the Rfam family "Bacterial small subunit ribosomal RNA", at positions 28 to 507 of the family's 1533-position model. The record is from RNAcentral.